RNAcentral lists this transfer RNA (76 nucleotides) under Clostridiales bacterium. Its description in RNAcentral is "tRNA-Ala". It matches the Rfam family "tRNA". Rfam says of the family: Transfer RNA (tRNA) molecules are approximately 80 nucleotides in length. Their secondary structure includes four short double-helical elements and three loops (D, anti-codon, and T loops). The record is from RNAcentral. Lineage: Bacteria; Bacillati; Bacillota; Clostridia; Eubacteriales.
GGGGCAUUAGCGCAGUUGGGAGCGCAUCACACUGGCAGUGUGGGGGUCAGUGGUUCGAAUCCCCUAUGCUCCACCA